UUUCACAGAGGGAUAGCCCAGAGAAAUUUGGAUUAAUACCUCAUGGUAUUAUAGAGUGGCAUCACUUUAUAAUUAAAGUCACAACGGUGAAAGAUGAGCAUGCGUCCCAUUAGCUAGAUGGUAAGGUAACGGCUUACCAUGGCUACGAUGGGUAGGGGUCCUGAGAGGGAGAUCCCCCACACUGGUACUGAGACACGGACCAGACUCCUACGGGAGGCAGCAGUGAGGAAUAUUGGUCAAUGGGCGCAAGCCUGAACCAGCCAUGCCGCGUGCAGGAUGACGGUCCUAUGGAUUGUAAACUGCUUUUGUACGAGAAGAAACAACAUUACGUGUAAUGUCUUGACGGUAUCGUAAGAAUAAGGAUCGGCUAACUCCGUGCCAGCAGCCGCGGUAAUACGGAGGAUCCGAGCGUUAUCCGGAAUCAUUGGGUUUAAAGGG
RNAcentral lists this ribosomal RNA (438 nucleotides) under uncultured Flavobacterium sp. Its description in RNAcentral is "bacterial SSU rRNA". It matches the Rfam family "Bacterial small subunit ribosomal RNA", at positions 131 to 567 of the family's 1533-position model. The record is from RNAcentral. Lineage: Bacteria; Pseudomonadati; Bacteroidota; Flavobacteriia; Flavobacteriales; Flavobacteriaceae.